AAACGUGACCUUUCCAGUGUGUUUUUUGCUAUUAUUUUUAUAAUUUUUGACACAAUUAUUUGACAUGUUGGCAUUUACUCUUUUAGAUUUAAAUUAGUCCUACUUCACACCAACAUUCCUUUUAUGUUGUUUCACAUCUAUAAUACUCUUGUAUCAUCUAUUUUUUUUUUUGAUAAUAGUAACUUUGUAUCAUCUAUUAAAAAAGGAAACCAUAGUCCUUCCAUAUUUCGCUUCUCAUGUGUUCGUAUUGUCAUUCCUUGAACCUUUUAUUAUCAUUUUUGUGAUAACCGUGGUGUUCGAGCCAACCUGUGUACACUUCAACUAAUUCCACAAGUACUUGCUACCUCCCACCGUGCAAGUACUAGGUAACUCUUUCCACCAAAAUUUGGAUAGAUGGGAAGAAAUCAUUAGUGCUUUUGCCUGUUGAACCUAGGACCUCAUGGUUCACAACCCACUUCAUUGAUCACUAGGCCACCUCCGUGAGGGCUGAACCUUUUUACUCCCCCC
This 507-nucleotide long non-coding RNA is filed under the name Solanum tuberosum (potato). Its description in RNAcentral is "long non-coding RNA (STUB_LNC005293)". The record is from RNAcentral. Lineage: Eukaryota; Viridiplantae; Streptophyta; Magnoliopsida; Solanales; Solanaceae.